RNAcentral lists this ribosomal RNA (430 nucleotides) under uncultured bacterium. RNAcentral's name for it is "bacterial SSU rRNA". It matches the Rfam family "Bacterial small subunit ribosomal RNA", at positions 355 to 776 of the family's 1533-position model. The record is from RNAcentral.
UGGGGAAUCUUGCGCAAUGGACGAAAGUCUGACGCAGCCACGCCGCGUGAGUGAAGAAGGCCUUCGGGUUGUAAAGCUCUGUCGCCCGGGACGAACAUCUUUGAGGUUAACAGCCUCAGAGACUGACGGUACCGGGAGAGGAAGCACCGGCUAACUCUGUGCCAGCAGCCGCGGUAAUACAGAGGGUGCAAGCGUUGCUCGGAAUCAUUGGGCGUAAAGGGUAGGUAGGUGGUCUCGUUUGUCUGGGGUGAAAGCCCAGGGCUUAACCCUGGAAGUGCCCCGGAAACGGCGAGACUGGAGUACUGGAGAGGGUCGUGGAAUUCCCGGUGUAGCGGUGAAAUGCGUAGAGAUCGGGAGGAACACCAGAGGCGAAGGCGGCGACCUGGACAGUUACUGACACUCAACUACGAAAGCGUGGGGAGCAAACAGG